This 499-nucleotide ribosomal RNA is filed under the name uncultured bacterium. Its description in RNAcentral is "partial 16S ribosomal RNA". It matches the Rfam family "Bacterial small subunit ribosomal RNA", at positions 30 to 523 of the family's 1533-position model. The record is from RNAcentral.
AUUGAACGCUGGCGGCAGGCUUAACACAUGCAAGUCGAGCGGGGGAAGGUAGCUUGCUACUGGACCUAGCGGCGGACGGGUGAGUAAUGCUUAGGAAUCUGCCUAUUAGUGGGGGACAACAUCUCGAAAGGGAUGCUAAUACCGCAUACGUCCUACGGGAGAAAGCAGGGGAUCUUCGGACCUUGCGCUAAUAGAUGAGCCUAAGUCGGAUUAGCUAGUUGGUGGGGUAAAGGCCUACCAAGGCGACGAUCUGUAGCGUGUCUGAGAGGAUUAGCCGCCACACUGGGACUGAGCCACGGCCCAAACUCCUACGGGAGGCAGCAGUUGGGAAUAUUGGACAAUGGGGGGAACCCUGAUCCAGCCAUGCCGCGUGUGAAGAAGGCCUUAUGGUUGUAAAGCACUUUAAGCGAGGAGGAGGCUACUUUAGUUAAUACCUAGAGAUAGUGGACGUUACUCGCAGAAUAAGCACCGGCUAACUCUGUGCCAGCCGCCGCCGUAA